This 483-nucleotide ribosomal RNA is filed under the name uncultured bacterium. RNAcentral's name for it is "SSU rRNA". It matches the Rfam family "Bacterial small subunit ribosomal RNA", at positions 26 to 521 of the family's 1533-position model. The record is from RNAcentral.
AGAAUGAACGCUGGCGGCGUGCUUAACACAUGCAAGUCGAACGGAAUCCAAGGAGCUUGCUCCGAAAAAUUUAGUGGCGAACGGGUGAGUAUCACGUGAGCAACCUGCCCCCGAAGAUUGGGAUAACACCGGGAAACCGGUGCUAAUACCGAAUACCUUCCAAUGACCGCAUGGUCGAUGGAAGAAAUGUUUUUCGCUUCGGGAGGGGCUCGCGGUCCAUCAGCUUGUUGGCGGGGUAACGGCCCACCAAGGCAUCGACGGAUAGCUGGUCUGAGAGGACGAUCAGCCACACUGGAACUGAGACACGGUCCAGACUCCUACGGGAGGCAGCAGUGGGGAAUCUUGCGCAAUGGGCGAAAGCCUGACGCAGCAACGCCGCGUGAGGGACGAAGGCUUUCUGAGUUGUAAACCUCUUUCGACAGGAACGAUUGUGACGGUACCUGUAGAAGAAGCACCGGCCAACUAUGUGCCAGCAGCCGCGGU